CGCGCUGGGCGUCCCGGCGGCGCUGCGGGCCGCGCACACCGCCGGACACGCCGUCACGCUUAAACUGGCCACGUUCGGAGCCACGAACAUUGCUGACAGUACCGAUUACAGCAAAAUGCUUGUAAGAUUAAAAGAAACUCUCAAAAUGCGACUCCAUUGGACAUUACGACAGGAACAAAAGACGAUGCUCCACUUCUACAUUAACUACACAAUGAGAUAUAGCAACCUAUUCUCGGAGCUGGAACAACUCAAAAUUCAAUUUUCUAUAAUCGAAGACUAUUCCGUGACCGAAACUACUCUGGAGGAAGUGUUCCUGACCGUCACGAGUAAGAUGUACAAUGAUGGACCGUUGCCUGUUUAGAUAUAUUUGGUAUUAACCUUUUUUUAUUAAAUUCUAUGAGGUUAUAUGUAUGAUAUGUAACCUUUAUUUAUUUAAAAUUUUUUCAAGGUACAUAAAGCUUACAUAAUAUUUAAUAAAUAAAAAAACAAAAUGGAAGAAUAGAAAAAAAUAAAAGUAAAAAAGCAUAAUUACAAAAAAUAUAAUUGCUUCAUUCAAAUAUAAGACCAAAUACAGACGUUAUUCCAUUCUGCAUUGUUUAAGAGCCGCUCUCUAAGUCUUAUAUAUAUGUAUAUAUUAAACACUUCUUUUUAUUAUAUCUACAACCCUAUGGAAGAAAUCUCAUGAAAUUCAUAAAAACAUGGACAAAUGCAGACCAAAUGCUUAUAUACCGAGUUAGUGCAGACUAUGAGAUCUAUGAGAAUUUGUCCAUGUUUUUCUAAGGCUUAUGAGAUUUUUUUUCCAUAGCGAAAUAGGUAAAUCCAAUUAUAAUUAUGUAAUAAUAAAAUCGACAUACCAAGUGAUUAAUUCUAUGCAAAAAGUAUGGAGAUGAAAUCUCUUUACACUAUAUAAAGUUUUUGCACAAUAUAGUCAAUUUCUGUACCAAAGUUUAGUUUUAUAAAAAAUGGUGUUGUGUUUUCUGUUGUGAUAUUUAGUAAAAAAUUUAAAUAAAUUUACAAUUAUUUAAUAACUUAUUAAAAAGAUAGUUAUAAGUAAGAGGUAUUAAAUUAUACCACAUAUACUCCGUACUACUCCUAAGCACUAAGUUAGAUUGUAAACGUAUCUUAUGCCUAAGUGCUUAUUUUGAUGUAAGACUUAUUUAUUAAACGUGCGGGUGAAAGAUUAUUAAUAUAUUAAUAUACCUGCUUAUACCUGCCACUACCUGCCACCCAGUAGUCAUGCCAGGAAAA
Molecule: unclassified non-coding RNA, 1248 nt
Filed under: Melitaea cinxia (Glanville fritillary)
Lineage: Eukaryota; Metazoa; Arthropoda; Insecta; Lepidoptera; Nymphalidae
Description: misc RNA ENSMCXG00005019252.1
Source: RNAcentral